AGCUGUGAAGGUCAUCUGGCUAUGACAUCUGUCAUCCCGUUGAUCACCAGGCUGAUUCGGCAGAUCUGGCUGCGAAGGCAGGUGUCUCCUUCCUGCCUUACUACUCCAUGUAUACUCCUCUCAAAGCUGCACCUUCAGUUAGAGAUGACGAGCUUCCUCAACAGAGACACGUCAUUCUUCAGUCAACGUUAUAGGAGCAGCUACAUUCAUCUGCUGGAGCCUCCGAGCCAGGGCUGAAGGUCCAAUAACCCCAUAAACUUUAGAUUAGUUUCCCGUGGAGAUUAGCUGCCCCU
Molecule: unclassified non-coding RNA, 293 nt
Organism: Mesocricetus auratus (golden hamster)
Lineage: Eukaryota; Metazoa; Chordata; Mammalia; Rodentia; Cricetidae
Gene: 7SK
Rfam family: 7SK RNA
About the family: 7SK was discovered as an abundant small nuclear RNA in the mid-70s but a possible function has only recently been suggested.
Source: Ensembl